CCAAAUCUGAUUUGAUUUUGAAAAAAAAAAAUUUUCAAAUUAGAUUUCAAAAUAUUCCUUAUCAAGAGAAUCUGUUCUUAUCCAAAUCAACCUCUCCAUACCAACUUAUUUUUUUCUCCUUAUAUGUGUGACAUUUUGAGGAGAUUUUUCAUAAAAAAUUGGCUGGAGAAUACUUUACCAUGAAAAAAUAUGGGAAGGGGC
This 201-nucleotide long non-coding RNA is filed under the name Elaeis guineensis (African oil palm). Its description in RNAcentral is "long non-coding RNA (EGUI_LNC052580)". The record is from RNAcentral. Lineage: Eukaryota; Viridiplantae; Streptophyta; Magnoliopsida; Arecales; Arecaceae.